CAUAGUUCAGUCGGUAGAACGGCGGACUGUUAAUCCGUAUGUCACUGGUUCGAGUCCAGUCA
This 62-nucleotide transfer RNA is filed under the name Proteus terrae subsp. cibarius. It matches the Rfam family "tRNA", at positions 8 to 63 of the family's 71-position model. From Rfam's summary of the family: Transfer RNA (tRNA) molecules are approximately 80 nucleotides in length. Their secondary structure includes four short double-helical elements and three loops (D, anti-codon, and T loops). Further hydrogen bonds mediate the characteristic L-shaped molecular structure. tRNAs have two regions of fundamental functional importance: the anti-codon, which is responsible for specific mRNA codon recognition, and the 3' end, to which the tRNAs corresponding amino acid is attached (by aminoacyl-tRNA synthetases). tRNAs cope with the degeneracy of the genetic code in two manners: having more than one tRNA (with a specific anti-codon) for a particular amino acid; and 'wobble' base-pairing, i.e. permitting non-standard base-pairing at the 3rd anti-codon position. The record is from RNAcentral. Lineage: Bacteria; Pseudomonadati; Pseudomonadota; Gammaproteobacteria; Enterobacterales; Morganellaceae.